AUGCAAAUUUCACCAUUCACAAGCAGAUAUAAAGACACUGCAAGGACACUGCAGUCUCUGUGUUUGGUUGUGUACAGCAGAGGAAUCAUGAGCUGGUCUUUUCUUCUUCUGAUAUCCUUUGUGCCCUAUGUGUGUUGCAUCAGUCUGACCUCGUCUCCUGAUCAGGUUAAACCUCCUGGAGAAACAGUGAAAUUGUCCUGUCAGAUUUCUGGUUAUGCCCUGACUGACUAUGGUACAGGCUGGAUCAGGCAACCUCCAGGAAAAAGCAUGGAGUGGAUCGGGAUCAUAUGGGGUGGUGGAAGCAUAAAUAAUGGAGCUUCCUUUAAAAGUCGGUUCAGCAUCUCCAGAGACACGAGCAGCAAUGUGCUAUACUUAGAUAUCAGCAGCCUGAAACCAGAGGACACGGCUGUUUACUACUGUGCAAAGACAGCCACAGCUAUACAACUCAGUGGGAGGGGCGUACAAAAACUUUAAAAAAAGCAUCAACUUCAAUACAAAAUGCAACGAUGAUCAAACUGACAAGUACACAUUAUAAUGAGAAUAAAGAGAAUAAUAAACUCUCUUUUACCAAUUCACAGUCAAACAGAUGCAAAGCCAAUAGACAGGGUUUUGUUUUGUCUUUUUUUUUGUGCUUAAAGUGGUGUGUCAAUUAUUUUUCUUUUUUUGUGUCUCUUUAAAAUAAGCAUCAAUAAUUAAACAGUGAAGUUUAACUAACAUACACAAUGCAAGUCGAACUAUUUCAAAGUCAAAUGCAUGUGCAAUUUUUCAUUCACGUCAUCAAAACCUAAUAAGUAAAAAUAUGCAGAAAU
Molecule: non-coding RNA, 809 nt
Organism: Tachysurus fulvidraco (yellow catfish)
Lineage: Eukaryota; Metazoa; Chordata; Actinopteri; Siluriformes; Bagridae
Source: the annotation of a RefSeq genome assembly